This 453-nucleotide ribosomal RNA is filed under the name Chryseobacterium sp. ERMR1:04. RNAcentral describes it as "bacterial SSU rRNA". It matches the Rfam family "Bacterial small subunit ribosomal RNA", at positions 1072 to 1533 of the family's 1533-position model. Lineage: Bacteria; Pseudomonadati; Bacteroidota; Flavobacteriia; Flavobacteriales; Weeksellaceae. The record is from RNAcentral.
GUGUUAGGUUAAGUCCUGCAACGAGCGCAACCCCUGUCACUAGUUGCUAGCAUUAAGUUGAGGACUCUAGUGAGACUGCCUACGCAAGUAGAGAGGAAGGUGGGGAUGACGUCAAAUCAUCACGGCCCUUACGCCUUGGGCCACACACGUAAUACAAUGGCCGGUACAGAGGGCAGCUACACAGCGAUGUGAUGCAAAUCUCGAAAGCCGGUCUCAGUUCGGAUUGGAGUCUGCAACUCGACUCUAUGAAGCUGGAAUCGCUAGUAAUCGCGCAUCAGCCAUGGCGCGGUGAAUACGUUCCCGGGCCUUGUACACACCGCCCGUCAAGCCAUGGAAGUCUGGGGUACCUGAAGUCGGUGACCGUAACAGGAGCUGCCUAGGGUAAAACAGGUAACUAGGGCUAAGUCGUAACAAGGUAGCCGUACCGGAAGGUGCGGCUGGAACAUCUCAUUU